ACGCACCUGAAUUCAAUGUGCUUCUAAAAUUAGAGGCAUCAAAUGCAAGGAAAAGGAAAAUUAAGCGGCCACGAGUUUUUAGGCCUGUUACCAGAUCAUCACAGCUUUAUGCUAGAACUGAAUGUCAGCUGCCUACUUUGCCUUGGUUCUUCUUUUUGUAAGUAAUCUCUCUUGCAUAGUAGUUUGAGUUAGAAUGACAAAGUGGCAAAUGGUGGAAGGUAUACAAGUUGUAUGAAGAUGAUUACUAUUUGCUAAUACUCUGCUUCCAUAUUUUACUUUGAAAUAAUAAUACUGAGUUGAGUAGUUAUUGUCCUGUGUUUAUUAUGAUUUCCUGGAAGAGGAGACAUUAUUUGAAAAGCCUGGUAUAGAAGUUUUGAACGAUUGUAGGCAGUUCUCUGUUUAUAUUUUGCUUAUGUGGUCAUAAGCAUGUUUCUCAUGUCUAAUUCCCUUGGUCUGUAAUAUAUGAAUAAACAGAAUAAUAAAGCACAGUUCAUUCAAACAGCAUGAAAACAUUUAAUAAAAAGUCAGGGAGAGAAAACAAAAUAAAACCAGAAUAACAUUUAUAAUGGGAAGGUCUGUAUGAGGAGAUAGACUUCCAACAGGUGUCUAAUAAUAGGCAUCUCAUGGAUUUCAAGGUGAGAGCAUUUUGGGAAGAACAACAUACUUGCCAGUACCCCCAAACUGACACUUUAACUAUUAUUGCAUAUUUAUAAGGACCUUUAUCCUUAUGUUGGGAAGCCACUGAAGAUCUUGAAGUAGAAUAUUUUUUUAAAUAUGGCACAUCAUUUCUUUGUCUAUUACAUUGGUUUUUAGUAUUUUUGUAGAAGAACGUACCAAAGUGGAGUUUAAUAACUCUGUCUUAUUUCAUUUAUUAUAUUUGGCAAGCUGCAGAAGAUAAUAUGGCUGGUGUCUGAUUUAAGAGUCCUGACUUUAAUUUUCUUCUUAACUGCUUUUUGAUUAAAUGGUCUCUUAACUACACAGUUCUUUGUCUUUAUUUGGAAAUACAGUAACACCAAUUUUGUUUCACGGCUGUUAUAGUAAGAAUGGCUAGAAUGGUAGCCUUACUUUUUGGAGUGGCUAUGAGAAAGUCAAGGGGUUGUGUUUUGUAUGCAAAUGUCCUAAAUGGGAUAAGCCUGAAUUGCAUAUAUACUAAAAGGAAAGAUCGGGUCUAUCCCUGAUUAGCUCUAUCCCUGUCAAUCUUUUUUUUUUUUUAAAUCAUUUUCAAGAACCUCGGGGACACCAUAGGGAGUAUGUGAGAUAGUUGCAUUCUUGUUUAGAUGGUUGUUAUUUUCCCUGCAAUCUUGUUUUUUAUGUAUUUUUAUUUUUAUUCUUUUAAAUGUUUUAAUAGUUGUAAUAUUGUUUUAGUUGUUGUUGUCUAGAGUCCAGUGACAUGGGCCCCAUAUAUGUUUGCUAAAUAAAAACCAAAUGCAGUGAAGUUUUUAGACAACCAGGAAUGCAUAUUAUAAUACUUUCUGAUCUAUUCAUCAUUUCCAGUAGUCAUUAGAAUGCAAACAAAAUAUUACUUUCCCUAGUGCCAGUCUGGCUGUAUUCCAGUGGAACAGAAAUUGCCUCCAAAAAUUGUGAGCGCUCUAUCACUGGAGGCCUUUAAGCAGAGAUUGGAUGGCCAUUUGUCUGGAAUGGUAUAGGAUUUUCUGCCUGAGCAGGAGGUUGGACUAGAAGACCUCCAAGGUCCCUUCCAACUUUGCCCUAUUCUGUCCUAUUCUAUUCCACUCUCCUGAUUGAGGUGAAUAUCAAGGCUAUCAUAUCCUAUAGCCCAGUACACACAAGCAUGGCAUUUUAGAAAAUUAGCAUAUCCACAUAAAAUGUGAAUUUAAAAUAAAUGAUUUGCAACAAUACUGAACUCUAAUGAUGUACCAUUUUCUAGUCCUGGAGACCUUUGGAUAAAAUUCAGUCUCUGUAAUUAUUUGUUUUUUUUAAUAUUUUGUUUAUCUUGUUUUUUACAUUUCCCUGAGAGCUAGAAACCUGGUUUUGUUAAAUGGCAAUAAAGUGUAUACUUUGCAGGAACAGAAGCAUCAGAUUCCAGUCAGAAAACUAGAUCUAGAUAUUGUUAAUUAGACAUGAGAAGUGCUGAACUGUCAAAUAAUGGAUAGCUAGGGACUUUAUUAUUGAUAACAGUCACUGUUGCUUGGGAAAAAAUAUUACAACAAAGGAAUUUAAUUCAGAUUUUUCUUGUAUCUCCUUUUCCUAAAAACCUCACCUCUUCUAAUUUUUUGUUUUUGAUAAAAUUAACUCUUGUAGUAACAUCAGUAUCAAUUUGGGAAGGGGUUUUAGUGCUCUCCUGAGCAUGUAACAAGUUUUUUGUGAAUGUUUUAUGCAUAGAUUUCUUUUCCACUUUUUUACAUUUCUUUGUUUUCUUAGCAUCUCUACAAAGCUGGAUUAUACUUGGAGAUAUAUGUCAAGGUUUUCUCCUGUCAACAUGGAACAUAAUUUGGGCAGAUUGGUUUGGUAAUAACUAUGACAUGAAGAUUAUGUCAACAAAAUAAGUGUUGUAAAUGAUUUGGUAAAUAGAUUCACAACUGUGUUAUAUAGUAGAAUGCUAAUCUGAUGGUCUUAGGUUCCAAAUCCUAUCUCAAUUUAUCAAACUAAAGUAAGAAAAUAUUCAUAUUUAUACAAUUUUAGGGUUCUUCUUUCUGCAAGGCAGAAAUACACAAGGUAGAUGAGUAAAAAAAUUGCAGAUUGUCUUUGUGUGGUGACCACAUGGUUCUGUUGCCUCCACUGGACCUGCCAGAAUACAGCAAUAAUUAUGCACCAUCCUGUUAUUAUCAUUACUGUUAUUAUGGUAUCCUCCUGGCAUUUAUGCUAGACACCCAUCUUUGAUUAAAAGGUAGGGGCCUUUAAGAGGGGGAGAAGAGAAAAAAAGAGAGAGGGUGUCUUCUCCUAGCACAUUAAUCUAUCAUGAGCUAAUGUGUUUUGCCCAUUCUGUUCCUUUGUACUAUCUCCAAGGCUCGUCGGCGCGGGUGCACGCACACACACAGAAACGCACACACACACACACACACACACACACGCACACACGCACACGCACACGCACACAAACACUCACACUCUCUUCUUGCACUUCUGCCACCGAUCUCUGCUGGUUGACUGGGCCUGACUCAGUCAGCAAGAGAAAGAAAGACAAACGGGCAGACAGAUCAACGAAGACAGAGGAACAAAGCCGAGACCACAAUGGGAAAUACACCAUCUCAAGGCAUGUCAAUGUUCAUCCAUUCUUAAGUAGCAGAAAAAGGACCUUUGGGAGCUUAGUGAUACAACAGCCAUAGCCUCCUUGCUGAGAAGACAACCAGUUCCAGUCAGCUGCCAAGGCUUCUGUGGAGCUAACCAUGGUACCAGGCAUCAAAUCAAACAGCUGUAGAAAAGAGGCCUGUUGUAAGAGGAAAGGUUGCUCCAAAACCAACAAAGGGCAAAUUUAACUAAAUAAAAAUGAAACAAUCUGAGAUUUACAUGUGGAAACUGAUUCUUCUUUUUGCUGCAUAUUGAUUUGUAGCAUGCAGGCAUUGCUGGAGACAGUCCUGCCUCCCUAAAGAGCUUCCCUUCCUGUGUAGAAAUCCAAGGAAUAGAGAAACACAUUUUAUUCAUAAAGAAGGGCUGCCUAUGAAUGUUUCUGGCAUCAUACAUAGAAGGGCUGCCUGUCUGUUGGGAGAAAAUCUUUGCCCUGACCCAAGGCAAAGAGGUUACCAAAGUAGCAGUGUCAAGAAAAUGGAUUUUUUUUUGUCUAUCCUGUAUAUACUUUUUCCUCUCCUUUCAGAAGAUUGCUCCAGAGAUGACAAAGCACACAGUGGCAAGUGCAACCAGAUCUUCAUUCCCCUGAAUAAAUGGAGUUAUACAUUUACUUUUCCAAUGCUGGAACAUCAAUCUUUUAGCUAUAGUAAAGGCAUACGAAUUUAAUUUACAUUUUAUGAUUUGUACUCAGAAGACUUUUCUUUGUAGAAAAUAAUAAAAAAGCAUGCAAUUAUUUUAAUAUAUUUUUUAAAAAAUUCCUAAUUUGUUAGUAUUUUCAUAAAAGCAUUAUUUUAAAAAACAGGAUGCAAAUUAUUAAAAUAAAAAUGAAUAAGUUGAGGCAUUUCUUAAUCACCUUGCAUUCUAUACAUUUUGUUGUAUUUGUGUGCAUACAUCUGGAAAACAAGAUGGAUGAAAAGGUCACAGUUUUAAUAAUAUAGGUUGUGGAUAUAUGUUUGAAAGCACAUUAUUUCAGCUCUUGCAGAUUUCGUAUUGAAGAGAGAAACAUAUACGAUUUUCAAGAAGGUAGGAUCCAAAUCUAGUACUGUAGAUACUACCUUUUCUAAAAUGUCACCUAAUUCUUGUAUAGCUCCUUAAUUCAAUGUUAUUUUUAAUUUAUUUUUAUUGCUUUUGAAUUAAUAAUGAAAAAGCAAAACAGCAAAACAGAAAGCUAAUAAUUCAAGUACAAAUAUGUAUCUUUAAAUAUUUAUUUUUUAUAUAAAUGAGUCCUAUAUUUAUUUAUGUUUGUCUAUACAAAUCUCAUGUGUUGUCAAUUGCCCAUGUACUAGGUAUAUACUGUAGUUCAAAAACAUAUUAUCUCCUGAAAAUUUUAGCUAUUGUAACACAGCAAUAUUUAUAUAAUCCACUACUUUCUUACAAAAUCUGGCAAGUAUAUGACGUUGUAAAGAUAUAUCCUUAUUAUAUCUCCAACCAAGUGCUAUUCUUUGUUAAUCUUUUUCUAUGCAAACAUAAGGGAGUUUAAUAAAUUCUAAAUAUUAUUUCUUCUUGUAUAACUCAUAAUCUGCAGUGCAUUGACACUCUUGCUUUAGAGCAGGGGUGUCAAACUGCUGGUCCGCGGGCCGGAUGCAUUAUCCGGAAGCCACACCCACCCCAUUGCCAGAAAUGACAAAACUGUCCAAUACAUUGCGCGACGUCAUGUGACAUCGUGAGUUUGACAUGUCUGCUUUAGAGGACACUUUCCCAAUGUCUAGGCAAUAUAAGAACUUCUGCUUUAUGUUUCACUAAUUUCUUUGCACCUAUCAGAUUGAUUUAACAAGAGGGUUUUUUUUUUUAGUUUUAAAGGAUUUAAUCUUUAAAUGCUGCUAGUUCAAAUAAUGUUGUUAACAGAUUUUGUAAUUAUAAAUAUUGCUAUUAGGUUAAAUCUGAUAAAUGGUAUUUGUCUCUUAAUGAGGAGUUAUGUUAAAAAUCUUCAUCUUCUAUCAGUUGGUCCAAAGUCAAUAUUCCUUCCUAUUUUUUCAUAUCACCAUCUUUUCUCCAAUUUUUAAAGUUGGGUUGCCCCAUAGAGCAUGGGGGAAAAGGUCAACUCUUUUUUUUAUUAGACAUUUCAUUCCAUAGUUUUCUAAUUCACACAGUGCUUCCAGAGAUACCCCAGUUUUUGUAUAUUUAAAUCCUAAUACUGUCUGUCCAACCAAAGGUGUUAUAUAUAUACUGUAUAUUCCAAAAUUACUGAAAUAAAAAAUUAACACCAAUUAUUGGUUUUCAGUAUUUAAUAUAUGACAAUCAGUAAGCAUGAUGAUAUACAGUAGCUCCCUCAUUAGCUGGUAAUUUUCUGUAAAAAUAAAAAUAAAAAAAUCUAUAGAAAUUUUUCUAAACAAGUAAUUUAUUUUCUGGAAAUAUUUUCUAGAUAUAGAAACUGGAAUUUUUCUCAUUGUAUAAAUUAAUCUGGGAAUAAUAUUCAAUUUGAGAGUUCAGUCUUCUCUAGAAGAUAAGGCUUAGUGACCCCCAUCUAUCAAUAUUUGAAAAAAAACAAUAGAUAUCUUUUACUACAUAUUAUUGAGUUUAAUUCUUUGUAUAUGCAUGCCUAAAUAUUAAAUGGAUUCUGUGCAAAUAUGGAAUUGCUAUUCUUUGAAUGGACGGGUAAGAUAAUUUUCACCUAUUGGUAUCAAUUCUGAUUUGGACCAAUUAAUAGAGUAGCCUGCCAGUUUGCUAAAGCCAUCUAUCUUUUGCAUCAAUAGUGGGAUAGAAGGUUUAGAAAUAAAGAAAAGAAUGUUGUCUGCAAAUAGGAACAAUUUGUGUUCAACUUAAUACUGUACCAUACUAUGUUGACUAAGUUGACUAAUAGCAGAAACCAAGAUAUUAAAAAACAAGUGUGAAACUGCAUAUCCUUGCCUAAUUCUUCUGAAUAGUGAAAAAGUAGGAGAAAAUACGUCAUUAAUCUUUAUUUUUGAUAUGGGCAACUAAUACUAUGUCUUAAUUCAUUUUAUGAAUUCCAGAGGAAACCCAAAUCUGUUUAGUAUAGCAAAUAUAUACUCUUUAUGUUUUUGUCAAGAAAUUUUCCAACAUCUAAUGAUAAAAUUACAAUGAUUUUUAUUUUGUUCAAGUUCAUUAGAUCGACAGUAUAUUUAAUCUAAUAUUGGUUUCUGUUUGCCUAGUUUUUAUAAAUGCUGCUUGAUCAUUUUUAAUAAUAAAUAAUAUCACUUGCUGUAAUCUAUUCACUAACAUGCUUUUAAAGUUUUUGUAUCAACAUUAAUCAAUGAGAUUAGAUGAUAACUAGCACUCUGUGUAAGCAUUAUCUGCUUUCAGUAUAACUGUAAUAUAAGUGUUGUUAAAAGCUGGUGGUAAAAUUCCAUUAUUAAAUAUCUCUUCAUAAAUUGACAAAGUUUUGGCACCAAAAGAUCUAUAAAUUUUUUACAUCCUCAACAGGGAAUCUAAUUUUGUGUUGUUGCACUCACCAUUUAAAAAAAUAUUUAUUUAUUUAAUGUGCUCCAUCUCUGGUCUAAAAUGAUGGAGCAAAUGAAAGUUGUUUUGUGUUUAUCUAAAUGUGGUAAAUUUAAUUUUAUUUAAAAAGAUCUCACUCAAUAAAUUUUCUGAUUUACUAUACCAUUCUGAAUAAAAAAUUUAAAAUAU
Molecule: long non-coding RNA, 6828 nt
Organism: Crotalus tigris (Tiger rattlesnake)
Lineage: Eukaryota; Metazoa; Chordata; Lepidosauria; Squamata; Viperidae
Exons: 3
Source: RefSeq, a predicted model, not a curated record